UACCAGCACCCCGAGUGGUCGGGACGUUUAUUGGGCCUAAAGCAUCCGUAGCCGGUUCUACAAGUCUUCCGUUAAAUCCAGCUGCUUAACAGAUGGGCUGCGGAAGAUACUAUGGAGCUAGGAGGCGGGAGAGGCAAGCGGGUACUCGAUGGGUAGGGGUAAAAUCCGUUGAUCCAUUGAAGACCACCAGUGGCGAAAGGCGGCUUGCCAGAACGCGCUCGACGGUGAGGGAUGAAAGCUGGGGGAGCAAAGCCGGAUUAAGAAACCCGUAGUAG
This 275-nucleotide ribosomal RNA is filed under the name uncultured bacterium. RNAcentral's name for it is "partial 16S ribosomal RNA". It matches the Rfam family "Archaeal small subunit ribosomal RNA", at positions 474 to 744 of the family's 1478-position model. The record is from RNAcentral.